GUGUCAGCCGCCGCGGUAAUACGAAGGGGGCUAGCGUUGUUCGGAAUUACUGGGCGUAAAGCGCACGUAGGCGGAUAUUUAAGUCAGGGGUGAAAUCCCAGAGCUCAACUCUGGAACUGCCUUUGAUACUGGGUAUCUCGAGUAUGGAAGAGGUGAGUGGAAUUCCGAGUGUAGAGGUGAAAUUCGUAGAUAUUCGGAGGAACACCAGUGGCGAAGGCGGCUCACUGGUCCAUUACUGACGCUGAGGUGCGAAAGCGUGGGGAGCAAACAGGAUUAGAAACCCCGGUAGUCC
Molecule: ribosomal RNA, 292 nt
Filed under: uncultured bacterium
Lineage: Bacteria
Description: partial 16S ribosomal RNA
Rfam family: Bacterial small subunit ribosomal RNA
Source: RNAcentral